AGAGUUGAUCCUGGCUCAGAUUGAACGCUGGCGGCAUGCCUUACACAUGCAAGUCGAACGGCAGCACGGGAGCAAUCCUGGUGGCGAGUGGCGAACGGGUGAGUAAAGCAUCGGAACGUGCCCAGUCGUGGGGGAUAACGUAGCGAAAGCUACGCUAAUACCGCAUACGAUCUGUGGAUGAAAGCGGGGGACCGUAAGGCCUCGCGCGAUUGGAGCGGCCGAUGUCAGAUUAGGUAGUUGGUGGGGUAAAGGCUCACCAAGCCGACGAUCUGUAGCUGGUCUGAGAGGACGACCAGCCACACUGGGACUGAGACACGGCCCAGACUCCUACGGGAGGCAGCAGUGGGGAAUUUUGGACAAUGGGCGCAAGCCUGAUCCAGCAAUGCCGCGUGCAGGAUGAAGGCCUUCGGGUUGUAAACUGCUUUUGUACGGAGCGAAAAGGCUUCCACUAAUACUGGGGGCUCAUGACGGUACCGUAAGAAUAAGCACCGGCUAACUACGUGCCAGCAGCCGCGGUAAUACGUAGGGUGCAAGCGUUAAUCGGAAUUACUGGGCGUAAAGCGUGCGCAGGCGGUCUUGUAAGACAGGUGUGAAAUCCCCGGGCUUAACCUGGGAACUGCACUUGUGACUGCAAGGCUGGAGUACGGCAGAGGGGGAUGGAAUUCCGCGUGUAGCAGUGAAAUGCGUAGAUAUGCGGAGGAACACCGAUGGCGAAGGCAAUCCCCUGGGCCUGUACUGACGCUCAUGCACGAAAGCGUGGGGAGCAAACAGGAUUAGAUACCCUGGUAGUCCACGCCCUAAACGAUGUCAACUGGUUGUUGGGUCUUCACUGACUCAGUAACGAAGCUAACGCGUGAAGUUGACCGCCUGGGGAGUACGGCCGCAAGGGUGAAAACUCAAGGAAUUGACGGGGACCCGCACAGCGGUGGAUGAUGUGGUUUAAUUCGAUGCAACGCGAAAAACCUUACCCACCUUUGACAUGUACGGAAUCCUUUAGAGAUAGAGGAGUGCUCGAAAGAGAGCCGUAACACAGGUGCUGCAUGGCUGUCGUCAGCUCGUGUCGUGAGAUGUUGGGUUAAGUCCCGCAACGAGCGCAACCCUUGUCAUUAGUUGCUACGAAAGGGCACUCUAAUGAGACUGCCGGUGACAAACCGGAGGAAGGUGGGGAUGACGUCAAGUCCUCAUGGCCCUUAUAGGUGGGGCUACACACGUCAUACAAUGGCUGGUACAAAGGGUUGCCAACCCGCGAGGGGGAGCUAAUCCCAUAAAGCCAGUCGUAGUCCGGAUCGCAGUCUGCAACUCGACUGCGUGAAGUCGGAAUCGCUAGUAAUCGUGGAUCAGAAUGUCACGGUGAAUACGUUCCCGGGUCUUGUACACACCGCCCGUCACACCAUGGGAGCGGGUUCUGCCAGAAGUAGUUAGCCUAACCGCAAGGAGGGCGAUUACCACGGCAGGGUUCGUGACUGGGGUGAAGUCGUAACAAGGUAACC
Molecule: ribosomal RNA, 1490 nt
Filed under: uncultured bacterium
Lineage: Bacteria
Description: bacterial SSU rRNA
Rfam family: Bacterial small subunit ribosomal RNA
Source: RNAcentral